UACGGAGGGUGCAAGCGUUAAUCGGAAUUACUGGGCGUAAAGCGCGCGUAGGCGGUUGUUUAAGUCGGAUGUGAAAGCCCCGGGCUCAACCUGGGAACUGCAUUCGAUACUGGGCAACUAGAGUAUGAGAGAGGGAGGUAGAAUUCCAUGUGUAGCGGUGAAAUGCGUAGAUAUGUGGAGGAAUACCAGUGGCGAAGGCGGCCUCCUGGCUCAAUACUGACGCUGAGGUGCGAAAGCGUGGGGAGCAAACAGGAUUAGAUACCCGCGUA
This 269-nucleotide ribosomal RNA is filed under the name uncultured prokaryote. RNAcentral's name for it is "partial 16S ribosomal RNA". It matches the Rfam family "Bacterial small subunit ribosomal RNA", at positions 524 to 792 of the family's 1533-position model. The record is from RNAcentral.